AUUGAACGCUGGCGGCAUGCCUUACACAUGCAAGUCGAACGGUAACGGGCCUUCGGGUGCCGACGAGUGGCGAACGGGUGAGUAAUACAUCGGAACGUGCCCGAUCGUGGGGGAUAACGAGGCGAAAGCUUUGCUAAUACCGCAUACGAUCUACGGAUGAAAGCAGGGGACCGCAAGGCCUUGCGCGGACGGAGCGGCCGAUGGCAGAUUAGGGAGUUGGUGGGAUAAAAGCUUACCAAGCCGACGAUCUGUAGCUGGUCUGAGAGGAUGAUCAGCCACACUGGGACUGAGAGACGGCCCAGACUCCUACGGGAGGCAGCAGUGGGGAAUUUUGGACAAUGGGCGCAAGCCUGAUCCAGCCAUGCCGCGUGCAGGAUGAAGGCCUUCGGGUUGUAAACUGCUUUUGUACGGAACGAAAAGCCUUCUUUUAAUACAGGAGGGUCAUGACGGUACCGUAAGAAUAAGCACCGGCUAACUACGU
This 481-nucleotide ribosomal RNA is filed under the name uncultured bacterium. RNAcentral's name for it is "partial 16S ribosomal RNA". It matches the Rfam family "Bacterial small subunit ribosomal RNA", at positions 30 to 506 of the family's 1533-position model. The record is from RNAcentral.